This 467-nucleotide ribosomal RNA is filed under the name uncultured bacterium. Its description in RNAcentral is "partial 16S ribosomal RNA". It matches the Rfam family "Bacterial small subunit ribosomal RNA", at positions 28 to 507 of the family's 1533-position model. The record is from RNAcentral.
GACGAACGCUGGCGGCGUGCUUAACACAUGCAAGUCGAACGGAAAGGCCUCUUUCGGGGGGUACUCGAGUGGCGAACGGGUGAGUAACACGUGAGUAACCUGCCCUUGACUUUGGGAUAACUUCAGGAAACUGGGGCUAAUACCGGAUAGGAGCUCCUGCUGCAUGGUGGGGGUUGGAAAGUUUCGGCGGUUGGGGAUGGACUCGCGGCUUAUCAGCUUGUUGGUGGGGUAGUGGCUUACCAAGGCUUUGACGGGUAGGCGGCCUGAGAGGGUGACCGGCCACAUUGGGACUGGGAUACGGCCCAGACUCCUACGGGAGGCAGCAGUGGGGAAUAUUGCACAAUGGGUGGAAGCCUGAUGCAGCAACGCCGUGUGCGGGAUGGCGGCCUUCGGGUUGUAAACCGCUUUCGCUCAUGACGAAGCUUUGUGUGACGGUAGUGGGUAAAGAAGCACCGGCUAACUACGUG